RNAcentral lists this ribosomal RNA (464 nucleotides) under uncultured bacterium. RNAcentral describes it as "bacterial SSU rRNA". It matches the Rfam family "Bacterial small subunit ribosomal RNA", at positions 339 to 796 of the family's 1533-position model. The record is from RNAcentral.
GUACGGGAGGCAGCAGUGGGGAAUUGUUCACAAUGGGCGCAAGCCUGAUGACGCAACGCCGCGUGGAGGAUGAAGGUCUUCGGAUUGUAAACUCCUGUUGCCCGGGACGAAAUGCUCUGACCUAACACGUCAGAGUUUGACGGUACCGGGUGAGGAAGCCCCGGCUAACUCUGUGCCAGCAGCCGCGGUAAUACAGAGGGGGCAAGCGUUGUUCGGAAUUACUGGGCGUAAAGGGCGCGUAGGCGGCCUGCUAAGUCGAACGUGAAAUCCCCGGGCUCAACCCGGGAACUGCGUCCGAUACUGGCUGGCUUGAAUCCGGGAGAGGGAUGCGGAAUUCCAGGUGUAGCGGUGAAAUGCGUAGAUAUCUGGAGGAACACCGGUGGCGAAGGCGGCAUCCUGGACCGGCAUUGACGCUGAGGCGCGAAAGCCAGGGGAGCAAACGGGAUUAGAUACCCUAGUAGUCC